UUCAUUUAGAAGCGGUGUCUGUGGGGUGCUGAGAGGCACGGAAAAGGAGGGGCUGCGGAGGGUGGUGGAGGGGGUCGGGAGGGACGGGGAGCAAAGUGAGCGUGUGUGUACAGUGCAAGGCUCCGGCGGCCGCGCGGGGGGCGGGGGGAGAGGCGCUCAUACUUACCUGGUAGGGGAAACACCAUGAUCAGGAAGGUGGUUUUCCCAGGGCGAGGUUCACCCAUUGCACUGCGGGUGUGCUGACCUCUGCGAUUUCCCCAAAUGCGGGAAACUCGACUGCAUAAUUUGUGGUAGUGGGGGACUGCGUUCGCGCUCUCCCCUGGCGUUUCUGCGUUUAAAUGGCAGAGUAGUCUUUUGUGCCGAGUGUGCGCUGUAAGUGAGUAGUGAGCCCGGCGGCAAGCCUGCGGGCCGCCUGAUUUCUGAGACAAGGGGCCGGGGCCAUGGGCCCAGCUAGUUAGCAAGCCCGAGAGCACUGUCCAUUCUUCGCAGCGAGAACGUACUCCUCACCCUAGACCAAGCACUGCCCUGGACCACUUAACACAUCAUACAAGCAAGGCCCGACAGGAUCAAACUCUUUGCGAAGAACUCAUGCAUCCCUGAACCGGAAGCCCGACGUGUACCACAACACAAAACUCUCCGGCCUCCAACAAGGUAAAGUUCAGUGUCUGGCACUCCAUCAAGAGAUCGCCGAGUAUCCAAAGAGGCAGCAGAAAGGACCCGUCAUGAGGAGACGAAUCCAGCAUUUGCAAGUGACCCAGAGCUCACACAGAUGUUCGGAUCACCAGAGAAGAAGAUGAAAACUUUGAUUCCAACGGUGUUCAUUCUAUCAGUUCAAACAGUUAUUCAGACACAUGGGAAAGAGCAAACAAACCAACCAACCAACAACAACAACAACAAAAAACCCAACAACAAAUAAAAAGACCCAGUCAAACUUGAAGGCAGGAAAACCACAAUGUCUGGGAGGAAAGGUACUGCAAGGGAUCAAGGGUGUGCAAUUAGAACGCGCAGAGGAAAACAUUUUGACAGGAACUGUAUUGACUCUGCACAUCCCACUUUGAGUAGUACUACUGGCCUCUCAACUGCACUGAAUCUUCCAGUCCCUGAAGCCUGUCUUUCCAUUUCCUCGGGUCUUCUUUCAUCUCUUGCAGCAGCAGUUUUCAAAACUAUUUCGCAGGUCUUUGAGUUCAGUGUGUGGACUCAGUUCAGGCUCCUGCAGGAAAAACACAGACAAGGGACCAAAGUCAAGACUUGGCUGCAGUUCCCAGGGCACAUGCAACAUGCAUCUCGGACCCACAGGCAUGCAGGGAAAGAAAAAAAAAAACAAAAAAACUCAGCAGGAGAGGAAUUUCGAGUAUUGGAAGGACUUUAUCUUCCUGAUGAAGACACUGUGGUUCAUGGAGAUAGGGAGAUUCUCCCAGGUUCCCACACCACUUGGGGGCAGCAGAGCAACCCAUGAGCCUUGGCCACAAGUUUUCCUGUCCAAAAGCACCGGGAUCCCACAACUGAAUGUCAGGGAACACUGGAUCAAAAAUACAAUUGUUCACUCUUUAAAAAACAAAAAACACCUGAAACAUGCUUCCUGAAAAAAACCGUGCGUCACUGUUCAACUGUCCCAUGUUUAUACUCAGGCAAUUGUCAGUCCGGGCUGGCAUAUAGGACCCGCGAACACAAAAGCACUAAGCACAUCACAAUCAUAUUUUAAUAUGUAUUAUCUGUCAAUAUGCACCUCCCGUGCUAGAGAUCAUCUUUCUGACAGCAGGCACUCUCCCGGCCUGGUUCACCCCACCUCUCCUCCCCAGUGCCUCCUCAAGUGCCGGCCAGAUCCAACAUUUACUGCCCAGCAGAUAAACACCAGGUACCAGGGCUACCUUUUAUCCAUGUCUUCUCGUCCCGUCACAUUUCCAAUCAGAUCUUAUCCUACGUCGGUGCUAAACAGCGAAAGCACAGUCCUAGGAAAAGCAGUCCACCAUGCAAAUAUCUGCUCCAUCAUGCACCAAAGUUACAUGACAUGAAGAUUUCAUCACCCUCUGGGGCACACAAAUCUCAUGGAUAACAAACACGGAGGACCGUAUAAUGUGAAACAGACAAGGCUGUAUUAACCUGGGAUGAGUAAAUGUGCUCUCCUUCAGCCCACAGCCUCUAAGCCCUGAGCUAAAGAUCGGACAGAUAUGCAGUUACUUCUGCUCCUCUCAAACAAGACCACAUCACAUGUCCCACCAGAAAGAGUUAAGAGGGCUGUGUGCCUGCCAUUGCAUUUAUUAAUCAC
Molecule: long non-coding RNA, 2266 nt
Filed under: Sus scrofa (pig)
Lineage: Eukaryota; Metazoa; Chordata; Mammalia; Artiodactyla; Suidae
Description: lncRNA (ENSSSCG00025046619.1)
Rfam family: U1 spliceosomal RNA (bases 159-322)
Source: RNAcentral